RNAcentral lists this ribosomal RNA (462 nucleotides) under Triticum aestivum (bread wheat). RNAcentral describes it as "partial small subunit ribosomal RNA". The record is from RNAcentral. Lineage: Eukaryota; Viridiplantae; Streptophyta; Magnoliopsida; Poales; Poaceae.
AUGAUACAUGAACGUGCUGAUUACAAGUCACUUGAUCCCGCUGAUAUUCUCGAGAGGCUAAAUACUCAUGAGUUCCAACUUGCUGAAAAGAGAGAUCUCUAUGGUUCAAGCUAUGGCAGAACACGUGCACUGAAGGCCAAGGCAGUAUCUGAGUCCGAAGAUGAAGACUCUGGUAGCAGCCUUGGUGAUCCUGAAGAACUGAGCCAUGAUCUGGCUCUGCUCGUGAAGAAGUUUCAAAAGUUCUCAAGAUGUGAUCGCCUUGGAAGAUCCUCAAGGAGCAAUGAUUCCUCACCCAGUGACUACAAGAAGAGGUUCUGUCACAAGUGCAAGAAACUUGGACAUUUCAUUCAAGAUUGUCCUCAGUGGAAAAAGGAAUCAAAGAAGAAGAAAUACAAGGAUUACAGUUCUGAUGAUGCGAAGAAAAAGAAGAAAUCCACAAAAUCUUCAUCAUCAAAAUCCUAA